GUCGCAAGACCAAAGUGGGGGACCUUCGGGCCUCAUGCCAUCAGAUGUGCCCAGAUGGGAUUAGCUUGUAGGUGGGGUAACGGCUCACCUAGGCGACGAUCCCUAGCUGGUCUGAGAGGAUGACCAGCCACACUGGAACUGAGACACGGUCCAGACUCCUACGGGAGGCAGCAGUGGGGAAUAUUGCACAAUGGGCGCAAGCCUGAUGCAGCCAUGCCGCGUGUGUGAAGAAGGCCUUCGGGUUGUAAAGCACUUUCAGCGGGGAGGAAGGCG
RNAcentral lists this ribosomal RNA (273 nucleotides) under Klebsiella pneumoniae. RNAcentral's name for it is "partial 16S ribosomal RNA". It matches the Rfam family "Bacterial small subunit ribosomal RNA", at positions 192 to 453 of the family's 1533-position model. Lineage: Bacteria; Pseudomonadati; Pseudomonadota; Gammaproteobacteria; Enterobacterales; Enterobacteriaceae. The record is from RNAcentral.